UAUUGUGUAGUCUAGUGGUUGGGAUGUUCACCUUUCAACCGAAAGACACAGGAUCGAACUCUGAUGCGAUAG
Glossina fuscipes fuscipes is the source of this 72-nucleotide non-coding RNA. NCBI's taxonomy places the organism in Eukaryota, Metazoa, Arthropoda, Insecta, Diptera, Glossinidae. The record is from Rfam.